UACAGAGGGUGCAAGCGUUGUUCGGAAUUACUGGGCGUAAAGCGCGUGUAGGCUGUUUUUUAAGUCGAAUGUGAAAGCCCUCAGCUUAACUGAGGAAGUGCAUUUGAUACUGGAAGACUUGAGUGUCAGAGGGGGUGGCGGAAUUCCUGGUGUAGAGGUGAAAUUCGUAGAUAUCAGGAGGAACACCUGUGGCGAAGGCGGCCACCUGGAUGACAACUGACGCUGAGACGCGAAAGCGUGGGUAGCAAACAGG
Molecule: ribosomal RNA, 253 nt
Filed under: uncultured bacterium
Lineage: Bacteria
Description: partial 16S ribosomal RNA
Rfam family: Bacterial small subunit ribosomal RNA
Source: RNAcentral